This 497-nucleotide ribosomal RNA is filed under the name uncultured bacterium. RNAcentral's name for it is "partial 16S ribosomal RNA". It matches the Rfam family "Bacterial small subunit ribosomal RNA", at positions 28 to 507 of the family's 1533-position model. The record is from RNAcentral.
GAUGAACGCUGGCGGCGUGCCUAAUACAUGCAAGUCGAGCGAACAGACGAGGAGCUUGCUCCUCUGACGUUAGCGGCGGACGGGUGAGUAACACGUGGAUAACCUACCUAUAAGACUGGGAUAACUUCGGGAAACCGGAGCUAAUACCGGAUAAUAUAUUGAACCGCAUGGUUCAAUAGUGAAAGACGGUUUUGCUGUCACUUAUAGAUGGAUCCGCGCCGCAUUAGCUAGUUGGUAAGGUAACGGCUUACCAAGGCGACGAUGCGUAGCCGACCUGAGAGGGUGAUCAGCCACACUGGAACUGAGACACGGUCCAGACUCCUACGGGAGGCAGCAGUAGGGAAUCUUCCGCAAAGGGCGAAAGCCUGACGGAGCAACGCCGCGUGAGUGAUGAAGGUCUUCGGAUCGUAAAACUCUGUUAUUAGGGAAGAACAGAUGUGUGAGUAACUAUGCACGUCUUGACGGUACCUAAUCAGAAAGCCACGGCUAACUACGUG